This 450-nucleotide ribosomal RNA is filed under the name uncultured bacterium. RNAcentral's name for it is "partial 16S ribosomal RNA". It matches the Rfam family "Bacterial small subunit ribosomal RNA", at positions 354 to 796 of the family's 1533-position model. The record is from RNAcentral.
GUGGGGAAUCUUCCGCAAUGGACGAAAGUCUGACGGAGCGACGCCGCGUGAGUGAUGAAGGCCUUCGGGUCGUAAAGCUCUGUCAUCGGGGACGAAUGGUCGUUGGAGUGGAAAGCCAGCGAAAUGACGGUACCCGAGAAGGAAGCCACGGCUAACUACGUGCCAGCAGCCGCGGUAAUACGUAGGUGGCAAGCGUUGUCCGGAAUUAUUGGGCGUAAAGCGAGCGCAGGUGGGAUCUUAAGUCCAUUUUGAAAGUUCGGAGCUCAACUCCGUGAUGGGAUGGAAACUGGGAUUCUUGAGUACCGGAGAGGAAAGCGGAAUUCCCCGUGUAGCGGUGAAAUGCGUAGAUAUGGGGAGGAACACCAGUGGCGAAGGCGGCUUUCUGGACGGUGUCUGACACUGAGGCGCGAAAGCCAGGGGAGCGAACGGGAUUAGAUACCCGUGUAGUCC